AUUGAACGCUGGCGGCAUGCCUUACACAUGCAAGUCGAACGGCAGCACGGGUGCUUGCACCUGGUGGCGAGUGGCGAACGGGUGAGUAAAGUAUCGGAACGUGCCCUUAAGUGGGGAUAACUACCCGAAAGGGUGGCUAAUACCGCAUAUUCUGUGAGCAGGAAAGCGGGGGAUCGCAAGACCUCGCGCUGAAGGAGCGGCCGAUAUCAGAGUAGCUAGUUGGUGGGGUAAAGGCCUACCAAGGCGACGAUCUGUAGCGGGUCUGAGAGGAUGAUCCGCCACACUGGGACUGAGACACGGCCCAGACUCCUACGGGAGGCAGCAGUGGGGAAUUUUGGACAAUGGGGGCAACCCUGAUCCAGCCAUGCCGCGUGAGUGAAGAAGGCCUUCGGGUUGUAAAGCUCUUUCGGCCGGGAAGAAAUCGCAUGGGUUAACACCCUGUGGAUGACGGUACCGGAAUAAGAAGCACCGGCUAACUACGUGCCAGCCGCCGCAGUAA
Molecule: ribosomal RNA, 499 nt
Filed under: uncultured bacterium
Lineage: Bacteria
Description: partial 16S ribosomal RNA
Rfam family: Bacterial small subunit ribosomal RNA
Source: RNAcentral